CACCAGCCAACCAUUUUGUAUGAUAGUAUGUUGUUAUACAUAAUAAUGCCACGAACAAUGAUCGAAGUCUAAUCUAAAUCUUGUUUAAUUUAAAUUAGUUAUAAUAUACAACCUGCUGCAUAGAUUCAUUCAGUGAAAAAUCAUGAAUGAAAAUUUCGAUCCGCUGUACAAGAAAAGUGAAAUCGGGGUGGGGGGGUCGAUGAGCGACGUCAGGCCCUCCACCCUUUUCUUGCAUUUUUCUUGAUAUCUUCUUGAACGUGUAAUCACAUGCAAGUUCUUUUCUUACUGUUGUAGAUUACAGAGCGCCUUCGUGAUCCUCGUGGACUUCGAAGAGGAGGGUUAUCCGCCGCCGCCACUCCUCGCAAUUUCGUUGCAAGCGGUGCUCGUCCUCGUGGCCUUGUUCAACCGGCCGAUAGGAACAAUGCAGAAGAUCAACCUCCUGCAAAACGGCGGCUUUUGUCUGCUGUUGUUAAGGAGGAUGGAGAGAUCGUUGAGGAUUCUGCCACGGCAGAGGAUGCAAAGAACGAGCAAAUGGGUGAGGAUGGAAAUGUUGGGCCUGCUACAGGGAUUCGGGGUGAUGGAAAGCCUUUCAAGUUACAGCGAAGUGGUUGGCCUAGGAGAGAUUUGAUCUUAGAGCAGUGAAGAGGGUGAAUUUUAACUCUUGUCUUGUUUCUGAGUGUGUUUUAUGUGCGUUCAUCUUCUAAUUUUUCCCUGUUGUCAUGAUUGUUUUGUUUGGAGGUUGAAACUCCAGUAA
Populus euphratica (Euphrates poplar) is the source of this 754-nucleotide long non-coding RNA. RefSeq lists it as uncharacterized. NCBI's taxonomy places the organism in Eukaryota, Viridiplantae, Streptophyta, Magnoliopsida, Malpighiales, Salicaceae. The record is from RefSeq and is a predicted model, not a curated record. The transcript has 3 exons.